This 253-nucleotide ribosomal RNA is filed under the name uncultured bacterium. RNAcentral describes it as "partial 16S ribosomal RNA". It matches the Rfam family "Bacterial small subunit ribosomal RNA", at positions 524 to 776 of the family's 1533-position model. The record is from RNAcentral.
UACGAAGGGGGCGAGCGUUGUUCGGAUUUACUGGGCGUAAAGGGCGCGUAGGCGGCCUUGUCAGUCAGGCGUGAAAGCCCCGGGCUCAACCUGGGAACGGCGCUUGGGACGGCGAGGCUGGAGUUCGGGAGAGGUGAGUGGAAUUCCCAGUGUAGAGGUGAAAUUCGUAGAUAUUGGGAAGAACACCGGUGGCGAAGGCGGCUCUCUGGACCGACACUGACGCUGAGGCGCGAAAGCCAGGGGAGCGAACGGG